RNAcentral lists this ribosomal RNA (488 nucleotides) under uncultured bacterium. RNAcentral's name for it is "partial 16S ribosomal RNA". It matches the Rfam family "Bacterial small subunit ribosomal RNA", at positions 28 to 507 of the family's 1533-position model. The record is from RNAcentral.
GACGAACGCUGGCGGCGUGCUUAACACAUGCAAGUCGAACGAAAAUACCAAGCUUGCUUGGUUGAUUAGUGGCGAACGGGUGAGUAACACGUGAGUAACCUGCCCCUUACUUUCCUGGAUAACUGCUCGAAAGGGGAGCUAAUACGGGAUAUUCUGACCAGCCUGCAUGGGUUGGUGUGGAAAGGUUGCUAUUCUGGUAAGGGAUGGGCUCGCGGCCUAUCAGCUUGUUGGUGGGGUGAUGGCCUACCAAGGCUUCGACGGGUAGCCGGCCUGCGAGGGUGGACGGUCACACUGGGACUGAGAUCCGGCCCAGACUCCUACGGGCGGCAGCGGUGGGGAAUAUUGCACAAUGGGCGCAAGCCUGAUGCAGCGACGCCGCGUGAGGGAUGAAGGCCUUCGGGUUGUAAACCUCUUUCGUCAGGGAACAAGGCACUGCUUUUUUGGUGGUGUUGAGGGUACCUGGAUAAGAAGCGCCGGCUAACUACGUG